Molecule: ribosomal RNA, 253 nt
Filed under: uncultured bacterium
Lineage: Bacteria
Description: partial 16S ribosomal RNA
Rfam family: Bacterial small subunit ribosomal RNA
Source: RNAcentral
UACGAGGGGUGCGAGCGUUAUUCGGAAUCAUUGGGCGUAAAGGGUGCGUAGACGGCGUAUUAAGUUGGUUGUUAAAUUUCUCGGCUCAACCGAGAACCUGCGAUCGAUACUGGUAUGCUAGAGGAUGGAAGAGAGAAGUGGAAUUCUCGGAGUAGCGGUAAAAUGCGUAGAUAUCGAGAGGAACACCGAUGGCGAAGGCAGCUUCUUGGUCCAUUCCUGACGUUGAGGCACGAAAGCGUGGGGAGCAAACAGG